RNAcentral lists this ribosomal RNA (200 nucleotides) under uncultured bacterium. RNAcentral describes it as "partial 16S ribosomal RNA". It matches the Rfam family "Bacterial small subunit ribosomal RNA", at positions 29 to 233 of the family's 1533-position model. The record is from RNAcentral.
AGCGAACGUUUGCGGCGGGCCUAACACAUGCAAGUCGAACGGGCUAGCAAUAGUCAGUGGCGCACGGGUGCGUAACACGUGGGUAAUCAACCCUUCAGCUUGGGAUAACGCCUUGAAAGGGGCGCUAAUACCGGAUACGGCGCGCGGGGCUUCGGCCCUGCACGAGAAAGAUUCGCAAGGAUCACUGAAGGACGAGCCUG